Molecule: long non-coding RNA, 211 nt
Organism: Tarenaya hassleriana
Lineage: Eukaryota; Viridiplantae; Streptophyta; Magnoliopsida; Brassicales; Cleomaceae
Exons: 3
Source: RefSeq, a predicted model, not a curated record
CAAGAUUUUUGCUCCGAUUUGAGUCCUUGGACAUCUUUUGAACGCCGACCGCCAUCCUAUUGCCACCGCCCCAUCAUCGUUGGUGAAGAAAAUCUCGAGGUUAUUGAACCCGGGAUCGAGGAUUAGAGCGAAUCUUUCAGAGUUCAUCGUUUAGACCAAGGUGAAAGGUGAAGCAGAAUAUUUUGGUUGGAUUCGGUAGUUUGCCAGAAAG